Molecule: ribosomal RNA, 460 nt
Filed under: uncultured bacterium
Lineage: Bacteria
Description: partial 16S ribosomal RNA
Rfam family: Bacterial small subunit ribosomal RNA
Source: RNAcentral
CCUACGGGGGGCAGCAGUGAGGAAUAUUGGUCAAUGGACGAGAGUCUGAACCAGCCAAGUAGCGUGAAGGAUGACUGCCCUAUGGGUUGUAAACUUCUUUUAUAUGGGAAUAAAAUGUUCCACGUGUGGGAUUUUGUAUGUACCAUAUGAAUAAGGAUCGGCUAACUCCGUGCCAGCAGCCGCGGUAAUACGGAGGAUCCGAGCGUUAUCCGGAUUUAUUGGGUUUAAAGGGUGCGUAGGGGGAUUGUUAAGUCAGUUGUGAAAGUUUGCGGCUCAACCGUAAAAUUGCGGUUGAAACUGGCAGUCUUGAGUACAGUAGAGGUGGGCGGAAUUCGUGGUGUAGCGGUGAAAUGCUUAGAUAUCACGAAGAACUCCGAUUGCGAAGGCAGUUCACUGGACUGCAACUGACACUGAGGCUCGAAAGUGUGGGUAUCAAACAGGAUUAGAUACCCUAGUAGUC